This 21-nucleotide non-coding RNA is filed under the name Caenorhabditis elegans. The record is from RNAcentral. Lineage: Eukaryota; Metazoa; Nematoda; Chromadorea; Rhabditida; Rhabditidae.
UGGAGAAGAGCUUAUGCCAUU